RNAcentral lists this ribosomal RNA (506 nucleotides) under uncultured bacterium. Its description in RNAcentral is "partial 16S ribosomal RNA". It matches the Rfam family "Bacterial small subunit ribosomal RNA", at positions 30 to 523 of the family's 1533-position model. The record is from RNAcentral.
AUUGAACGCUGGCGGCAGGCCUAACACAUGCAAGUCGAGCGGUAACACAGAGGAGCUUGCUCCUUGGGUGACGAGCGGCGGACGGGUGAGUAAUGCCUGGGGAUCUGCCCGAUAGAGGGGGAUAACUACGGGAAACUGUAGCUAAUACCGCAUAACGUCUACGGACCAAAGUGGGGGCUCUUCGGACCUCAUGCUAUCGGAUGAACCCAGGUGGGAUUAGCUAGUUGGUGAGGUAAUGGCUCACCAAGGCGACGAUCUCUAACUGGUUUGAGGGAAUGACCAGUCACACUGGUACUGAGACACGGUCCAGACUCCUACGGGAGGCAGCAGUGGGGAAUAUUGCACAAUGGGCGCAAGCCUGAUGCAGCCAUGCCGCGUGUGUGAAGAAGGCCUUCGGGUUGUAAAGCACUUUCAGCGAGGAGGAAGGGUUACUAGCUAAUACCUAGUGACAUUGACGUUACUCGCAGAAGAAGCACCGGCUAACUCCGUGCCAGCCGCCGCCGUAA